This 534-nucleotide ribosomal RNA is filed under the name Triticum aestivum (bread wheat). RNAcentral describes it as "partial small subunit ribosomal RNA". The record is from RNAcentral. Lineage: Eukaryota; Viridiplantae; Streptophyta; Magnoliopsida; Poales; Poaceae.
AUGGAAAAGCUCAUAGAUUCAACUAAUGGUGAGUACUCGAGAGUAUUUGACUACCACCUUGAGUUACUUAGGAGCAAUCCUGGGAGUACCGUUGCAGUGACAUUAGACCCAGAUGUGCGUGACAGGAAUGUUUUUAAGAGGAUGUAUGUCUGUCUAGAUGGCUGCAAGAAAGGUUUCAUGGCUGGGUGUAGAAGGGUUGUUGGUUUAGAUGGUUGUUUCCUGAAGGGUGCAGUGCAUGGACAGAUUCUCUGUGCAAUUGGGAGAGAUUCAAACAACCAGAUGUACCCAAUUGCAUGGGCUAUUGUUGAAGUCGAGAGUUAUGACAGUUGGUACUGGUUUUUGUCAUUUCUGCAGAAGGACAUUCAGAUAAAUAAUCAUGGUGAUGGUUGGGUAUUCAUUUCUGACCAGCAGAAGGGGCUCAUCAGAGCAGUAAAUGAAAUUUGUCCACAAGCAGAGCAUAGAAUGUGUGCUAGACACAUCUAUGCAAACUGGAGAAAGCAACAUAGGGAGAAGAUAUAUCAGAAAAUUUUCUAG